This 422-nucleotide ribosomal RNA is filed under the name uncultured bacterium. RNAcentral's name for it is "bacterial SSU rRNA". It matches the Rfam family "Bacterial small subunit ribosomal RNA", at positions 355 to 774 of the family's 1533-position model. The record is from RNAcentral.
UGAGGAAUAUUGGGCAAUGCCCGCAAGGGUGACCCAGCAACGCCGCGUGGAGGAUGAAUGUCGUAAGAUUGUAAACUCCUGUUAGAGGGGAAGAAUAGUACCGGUUGGACCGGUAUAUGACUGUACCCUCAGAGAAAGCCCCGGCUAACCACGUGCCAGCAGCCGCGGUAAUACGUAGGGGGCAAGCGUUGUCCGGAUUUACUGGGUGUAAAGGGCGCGCAGGCGGGAUAAAAAGUCAGUGGUGAAAUCCUACAGCUUAACUGUAGAACUGCCUUUGAUACUUUUAUUCUUGAGUUCGGGAGAGAGAGACGGAAUUCCAGGUGUAGUGGUGAAAUACGUAGAUAUCUGGAAGAACACCAGUUGCGAAGGCGGUCUCUUGGUCCGACACUGACGCUGAGGCGCGAAAGCGUGGGGAGCAAACA